This 765-nucleotide ribosomal RNA is filed under the name Vreelandella aquamarina. RNAcentral describes it as "bacterial SSU rRNA". It matches the Rfam family "Bacterial small subunit ribosomal RNA", at positions 39 to 796 of the family's 1533-position model. Lineage: Bacteria; Pseudomonadati; Pseudomonadota; Gammaproteobacteria; Oceanospirillales; Halomonadaceae. The record is from RNAcentral.
GGGCCGGGCGGAGGCUACCAUGCAAGUCGAGCGGUAACAGAUCCAGCUUGCUGGAUGCUGACGAGCGGCGGACGGGUGAGUAAUGCAUAGGAAUCUGCCCGAUAGUGGGGGAUAACCUGGGGAAACCCAGGCUAAUACCGCAUACGUCCUACGGGAGAAAGGGGGCUUCGGCUCCCGCUAUCGGAUGAGCCUAUGUCGGAUUAGCUAGUUGGUGAGGUAACGGCUCACCAAGGCCACGAUCCGUAGCUGGUCUGAGAGGAUGAUCAGCCACAUCGGGACUGAGACACGGCCCGAACUCCUACGGGAGGCAGCAGUGGGGAAUAUUGGACAAUGGGGGGAACCCUGAUCCAGCCAUGCCGCGUGUGUGAAGAAGGCCCUCGGGUUGUAAAGCACUUUCAGCGAGGAAGAACGCCUAGCGGUUAAUACCCGCUAGGAAAGACAUCACUCGCAGAAGAAGCACCGGCUAACUCCGUGCCAGCAGCCGCGGUAAUACGGAGGGUGCAAGCGUUAAUCGGAAUUACUGGGCGUAAAGCGCGCGUAGGUGGCUUGAUAAGCCGGUUGUGAAAGCCCCGGGCUCAACCUGGGAACGGCAUCCGGAACUGUCAAGCUAGAGUGCAGGAGAGGAAGGUAGAAUUCCCGGUGUAGCGGUGAAAUGCGUAGAGAUCGGGAGGAAUACCAGUGGCGAAGGCGGCCUUCUGGACUGACACUGACACUGAGGUGCGAAAGCGUGGGUAGCAAACAGGAUUAGAUACCUCGGGUUAGUCA